UCCUACGGGGGGCAGCAGUGAGGAAUAUUGCACAAUGGGCGCAAGCCUGAUGCAGCGACGCCGCGUGAGGGAUGACGGCCUUCGGGUUGUAAACCUCUUUCAGCAGGGACGAAGGGUGACUGACGGUACCUGCAGAAGAAGCGCCGGCCAACUACGUGCCAGCAGCCGCGGUAAGACGUAGGGCGCGAGCGUUGUCCGGAUUUAUUGGGCGUAAAGAGCUCGUAGGCGGCUUGUCGCGUCGGCUGUGAAAACCCGUGGCUCAACCAUGUGGUCUGCAGUCGAUACGGGCAGGCUAGAAUUCGGUAGGGGAGACUGGAAUUCCUGGUGUAGCGGUGAAAUGCGCAGAUAUCAGGAGGAACACCGGUGGCGAAGGCGGGUCUCUGGGCCGAUAUUGACGCUGAGGAGCGAAAGCGUGGGGAGCGAACAGGAUUAGAUACCCUAGUAGUCGC
This 449-nucleotide ribosomal RNA is filed under the name uncultured bacterium. RNAcentral describes it as "bacterial SSU rRNA". It matches the Rfam family "Bacterial small subunit ribosomal RNA", at positions 337 to 797 of the family's 1533-position model. The record is from RNAcentral.